GAGCGCAGGCUGGAAAUUCCUCAUUCAGUAAAGAGGCACAGACCGGCGCAGUUGUGCCCAGGGACCUCACUAAUCCAUCCAGACCCCCGAGGCUUCACUGCAGGGGGGGGAGAGCCGAGAACACCAACAUGGGGGACCGCGCAGAGGAAGGUUCACCAAGGAACCGACAAUACGGCGCCAUUGAAAGGCCCAAUAAUGAAGAAGGAUCCACGUAUCUGGAUGAGAAGAUUUCAAUACCGUCCACAGGAUCGCCUGGCUUCAGCUUCCGCAAGCUCUGGGCGUUCACUGGACCUGGCUUCCUCAUGAGCAUCGCCUAUCUGGACCCUGGGAACAUUGAGUCUGACCUGCAGUGCGGGGCAAUUGCUGGAUUUAAGCUCUUGUGGGUUCUGCUUGGUGCCACCUUCCUCGGUCUUGUGUGCCAGAGGCUGGCCAUUCGGCUCGGUGUGGUAACUGGUAGAGAUCUGGCUCAGAUUUGCCGUUCCUAUUAUCCAAAGGCCCCGCGCUGGUUGCUGUGGAUUUUAGUGGAAAUAGCUAUUAUUGGGUCAGAUAUGCAGGAAGUCAUUGGUACCGCCAUUGCAUUUAGCCUUCUGUCAGCUGGACGGAUUCCUCUGUGGGGCGGCGUCCUCAUCACCAUCAUUGACACCCUAUUCUUCCUCUUCCUGGAUAAAUAUGGACUCAGGAAACUGGAAGCUUUCUUUGCAUUACUCAUUACUAUAAUGGCCGUAACGUUUGGCUAUGAGUAUGUGGUGGUCCGUCCUGACCAGAGGGAGGUGAUAAAGGGCAUGUUCUACCCGUACUGUUCUGGCUGCGGAUCUGAAGAGUUACUCCAAGCUGUUGGCAUCAUUGGCGCGAUCAUCAUGCCGCACAACAUAUACCUGCACUCCUCCCUCGUCAAGUCUCGGGAUAUAGACCGUAAGAAAAAGCAGGAGGUGCGAGAGGCUAACAUGUACUUCCUGAUAGAGUCCACCAUUGCGCUGCUCGUCUCCUUCAUCAUCAACCUCUUCGUCAUGGCCGUGUUUGCAGAAGCUUUUUACAAGAAGACCAACCAGGACGCGUACGAUGUCUGUCUGAACAGCAGCAGCCCUCACGCCGACGUGUUCAAACCCAAUAACGAGACCUUAUCUGUGGACAUCUACAAAGGGGGCAUUAUUCUUGGCUGCUUCUUCGGCCCCGUCGCCCUCUACAUCUGGGCUGUGGGCAUCCUGGCUGCAGGGCAGAGCUCCACCAUGACUGGAACAUACGCCGGGCAGUUUGUCAUGGAGGGCUUCUUGAACCUGAAAUGGUCUCGCUUUUACCGAGUCCUGUUCACCAGAUCCUGUGCCAUUAUACCCACCAUAUUUGUGGCCGCUUUUCAGGAUGUGGAACAUCUGACGACAAUGAACGAUUUUCUUAAUGUUCUGCAAAGCAUUUUGCUCCCAUUUGCUUUGCUCCCGGUACUGACGUUCACCAGCAUGCGCCCACUGAUGCACGAUUUCACGAAUGGCUUAAUCAGUAAAGCCAUUGCCAUUGGCCUCAUUGUGCUGAUCAUCGCUAUCAACUUAUACUUUGUGGUUGUCUACAUCCCGACCCUGGAAAGCAUCACGUUGUAUGUGGUGGUUGGGGUAAUUCUCCUUUUUUAUGCAGUGUUUACAUUGUACCUGCUCUGGACCUGCUGUCUUGCCCAUGGAGCCCAAUUUCUGUCCUGUGGCAGACAUGUUCAGUUUUCGUACGGAUUACCAGAGGAAUACAAUAACCUGCCGGGGACCCAGUAGUGAGGUCAGGGACCUCUGGACUGUUCGGGUAAAUGUGGAUUUAUGUCCUAGAGCUCAAGGGUUCGGCUACACAGUGAUCUUGGUUGCACGACAUCCACCACGCCCAAGGAUCGCAGUGAAGCACUGCUAGUAUAGAAAUGAAUGGGGUCGUAGCACAACUUGCACAUUUGUCAGGACCCCAGAAUUGCUAAAAUUCCAGCAGUGUUGGAUUUUUUGCGAUUCUGGUGUCACUGUUGAGACACAUGCAAGUCGUGCUGCAACCCGCUUUGUUCCUAUGCUAGCACUGCGAUCUUAGGUGUAGCGCCCAAUCGUACAACUAACACCGCCAUAUAGCCGACCACUUAGGAAAAGCAACAAAUUCUGAUCAUGACGUCCAUGCAAUGAUGUUCCAGUGACGCCAUCUUGUGGACAAUAUGUAUACUGACGGUGAAACAAGAUUCAGAAAUCAUGGAACCUCGGGGGCCUCCAGUCAGAUGAUUUUCUCAAGUAUUAAACUCCAGUAAAAAAAAAAAUCUGGAAAAUAGGAGCGACCAUCCGGAGGUUGACCCCAGCAACUCCAAAGGAGUUUUAACCAGUUCUGUAAAGACCUGCUUACAGAUUUUUUAGGGGUGUUUGUCAUGCAGGACCCAGGAGAAAUCCAGACUACUGAAUACCAGAUAAAAGGAAGUUUACUGUGCGUCAAAGUGGGACUAAUGUGGUUACAGGACGAGCGAAAAUGGAAACAUUGGAUUUAGGAGAUAUUUUUGAAAAUGCUGCACAUCCCAUGAGAAUAAGUGCACAAUGCACAGAGAUGCGCCCCUGACCACAGAGCUGUUACAAAUUGACAUUUUGUACUUUUUAAUUUACAGUGGAUGGUGGUCCAGGUCCUUAUCUUGAUCUAAUGUGUCGUGGGGACCAAGGGGAAGGGCAGAAGCCAUUUUCACCACUUUUGUCUUCCUUGCUUUCACGUACAUAAUUAGCGCAGAGCGCCGCGGCAGUGCCACCGCCCAAAUUACUGUAGAAAAGUAGAGUGUAAAAUAUUAAAGGGGUAUUCCAGUAACAGUAAGUUAUCCCCUAUACACGUGCUAGAUUGGUGGGGGUCCAACUGUUGGGACCUCAUCAAUCACUAUAAUGGAGGACCCAAGUCUCCUGUUUGAAUGGCGCGGAAGGUGAGCAUUAGCGCUGCUGCUCAAUUCACUUUCUAUGGGACUAUAUCUAACCCGAGCGAACAGCUCACCCGCCGCUCCUGUCAAAUAGAGACUCAGGUCCCCUGUCCUUGUAACCACUGGGUGUCCCUGACUUUGACCCCCCCCCCCCCCCCCACAGUUAUAAAUAUACCCCAUCCAGUCGAACGGACAGGAUAUAAAACUAGAAAAGUAAAAAAAAAACACACAUAAAAUAAUCCCGUAAAAAAUAAAAUAAAAUAACAAUCAUAAAGGGGGAAUUUCCAAGUCAGAUUUGCUGAAAUCUGCAGUAGCGUAAUUUGCACCAAAUUUUUCAAACGUUUUGCUCCCCUAUCGUAGUGUUAAAAAAGUUGCAAACGAUGGCACAUACCAGGUGUGCACUGUAAUUUGCUACUUUUCAUUUCUCUUGCCGUUUUUCAGAUAUGGGGAGGGGAAGUGGGCGAGGCUUACUGGGAGGGCGUGGCCUCUAGCAGCCCAACAGAUUUACACCAGAAAUGUGCAUGAUCGCCGCCUGGUCAUACCUGAUGGAGAUCUGAAUAACUGCUGCACGGACUGCCAGGAAAUGCGCCAAAUUUAUUAAGAGGCCUGUGUCUAUUUGGAAGCCAAAAUUCCAGAGUGCAGAGUGUGAUAAGUUCCCCCCAUGUGAUUGACAGAAAAGUGAAGUAGAAAUUAUAAUUCUUACAAACUAUAAACCUAAUCUUUCCAAAAAAAAAGUAUAAAUCAUGUAAUUGAAUAAAAAAAAAAUCAGAAGGUAAAUAAUUUACACUAACAAAUGGCUAAACCGCUGUAAAGUUUGGAUAAAGGAGAACUCCAGGGACCAAGUAUGACACAGGGUCAGGGCCUAGGGAUCCAGAGUAUGACACAGGGUCAGGGCCUAAGGAUCCAGAGUAUGACACAGGGGCAGGGCCUAAGGAUCCAGAGUAUGACACAGGGGCAGGGUCUAAGGAUCCAGAGUAUGACACAGGGGCAGGGCCUAGGGAUCCAGAGUAUGACACAGAGUCAGGGCCUAAGGAUCCAGAGUAUGACGCAGGGUCAGGGCCUAAGGAUCCAGAGCAUGACACAGAGUCAGGGCCUAAGGAUCCAGAGUAUGACACAGGGUCAGGGCCUAGGGAUCCAGAGUAUGACACAGGGUCAGGGCCUAAGGAUCCAGAGUAUGACACAGGGGCAGGGCCUAAGGAUCCAGAGCAUUACACAGGGGCAGGGCCUAAGGAUCCAGAGUAUGACACAGGGUCAGGGCCUAAGGAUCCAGAGUAUGACACAGGGUCAGGGCCUAAGGAUCCAGAGUAUGACACAGAUCAGGGCCUAAGGAUCCAGAGUAUGACACAGGGUCAGGGCCUAGGGAUCCAGAGUAUGACACAGGGUCAGGGCCUAAGGAUCCAGAGUAUGACACAGGGGCAGGGCCUAAGGAUCCAGAGCAUUACACAGGGGCAGGGCCUAAGGAUCCAGAGUAUGACACAGGGGCAGGGCCUAGGGAUCCAGAGUAUGACACAGGGUCAGGGCCUAAGGAUCCAGAGUAUGACGCAGGGUCAGGGCCUAAGGAUCCAGAGCAUGACACAGAGUCAGGGCCUAAGGAUCCAGAGUAUGACACAGGGGCAGGGCCUAAGGAUCCAGAGUAUGACACAGGGGCAGGGCCUAAGGAUCCAGAGUACGACACAGGGGCAGGGCGUAAGGAUUUGGAGUAUGACAAAAGGGCAGGGCCUAAGGAUCCAGAGUAUGACACAGGGUCAGGGCCUAAGGAUCCAGAGUACGACACAGGGGCAGGGCCUAAGGAUCCAGAGUAUGACACAGGGUCAGGGCCUAAGGAUCCAGAGUAUGACACAGGGGCAGGGCCUAAGGAUCCAGAG
Molecule: RNA transcript, 4758 nt
Organism: Bufo bufo (common toad)
Lineage: Eukaryota; Metazoa; Chordata; Amphibia; Anura; Bufonidae
Gene: SLC11A1
Gene name: solute carrier family 11 member 1
Exons: 16
Source: RefSeq, a predicted model, not a curated record